This 983-nucleotide ribosomal RNA is filed under the name Eimeria maxima. Its description in RNAcentral is "eukaryotic LSU rRNA". The stretch from base 486 to 639 matches the Rfam family "5.8S ribosomal RNA". The record is from RNAcentral. Lineage: Eukaryota; Apicomplexa; Conoidasida; Eucoccidiorida; Eimeriidae.
GGAUGCAAAAGUCGUAACACGGUUUCCGUAGGUGAACCUGCGAAAGGAUCAUUCACACAUUGCGUCUCAAAGCUGCUUUCGCGAUCACGCGGUACUGCGUCGCAAUCUGCAAUUUUGGUUGCUAUUGUGGGGCAUAUUGUUUGUGAUUCGUUUGGGAGUUUGCUGCGAGGAAGCGCUCAUUAUAAUCAUAUAUUCCCAAUCAUUGAAUCUUUUAUUUCCCCACAACGUAUUUUUGAAUUGAUUGAAAAGCUUAAGAAGCAACUCUCUGAAUGCAUGGGGAGGAUUUGUUCUUCUGAUGAGGAGGGUCCGACUCAAGCAUGAGGGGGGUUGAGUCGUGGCUAGCUGCUAGCUACGGGGAGUCAAGGGUUUUGGGGCUGUUUGGGGCUUUUGGGGCUGGAUUUUUUCUAGCACCGGCCCGGCGUCUCAUUUACCUUUCCUUGUAGUUAGGGAGUCGCGUCUCUAUAGAAUUUUGUUAAAUUUAAUAAAACUUUUAGCAAUGGAUGUCUUGGCUCACGCAUCGAUGAAGGACGCAGCGAAAUGCGAUACGCAUUGUGAAUUGCAGAUUUUAGUGAACCAUCAGAUUUCUGAACGCAUAUGGCGCUGUUGGGACUACCCAACAGCACGUCUGUUUCAGUGUCUUUUGACUCCUUCAAAAAUUAUACUACCAAAGUAUCUUAUACAUUUGCACAACACUGUUGUGUUUUGUGAGUAGGGUGCUUCUGGUGGUGUCGUCUGGGCGUCGAUGGUAGUGUAUAUCAGCGUCGCGUGAAAUUCCUUAUAUAUUUCAACAAUAGUUGUUGGCUAUAUAAGCAGUCGUUUUGCGUUAUCCUUUCGUUAACGAAAGAGAUACGGUGGUUUAUCAUGACUCACUAAUAUCUCGUACAUGGGUAGCGCUGUAUCGGUUGCUGCUGACAAUACAUAUCUUUAGACCUGAAAUCAGUCGAGGUUACCCGCUGAAUUUAAGCAUAUUAUUAAGCGGAGGA